ACGACCAUUUAAAAAAAACGGCGAUGUAUUGUAUAUUAUGAACAUUUCUGUUGGGUUCCUUCAAGAAUUUGAAACUUUUAUGCUCUAGCCUUGCUAGAGAAACCUUUCCUUACAUCCCUGUACUUCGCUCGAUCGGUGCAGUAGCUUGAAGUUGUGACACCGACUUUUAAAACGUGUUCCAGCUAUGGCGGGUAGUGCUAUAAUAGGAGGAGUACUCCUGGCUCUAAUUGAAGGUGUUGGAAUAUUAUUUACCAGAAUAUCUGCCGAUCAGUUCAGAAAUCCGUUACCACCAGCAGAAGACCCCACUGUUCUUGGAGAUCCUGGAAGUAAUUAUUCGUUUGGAUCCAAUUCAAACCAAAAAAAUUAUCAAUAAAAUGACGACCAUUUAAAAAAAACGGCGAUGUAUUGUA
Drosophila gunungcola (fruit fly) is the source of this 410-nucleotide long non-coding RNA. RefSeq lists it as uncharacterized. The record is from RefSeq and is a predicted model, not a curated record. NCBI's taxonomy places the organism in Eukaryota, Metazoa, Arthropoda, Insecta, Diptera, Drosophilidae. The transcript is spliced from 2 exons.